This 664-nucleotide ribosomal RNA is filed under the name Thorichthys meeki (firemouth cichlid). RNAcentral describes it as "partial small subunit ribosomal RNA". It matches the Rfam family "Bacterial small subunit ribosomal RNA", at positions 536 to 1511 of the family's 1533-position model. The record is from RNAcentral. Lineage: Eukaryota; Metazoa; Chordata; Actinopteri; Cichliformes; Cichlidae.
CCAAGUUGACAGGUACCGGCGUAAAGAGUGGUUAAGGGAAAACACCAAACUAAAGCCGAACACCUUCAGAGCUGUCAUACGCUUCCGAAGGCAUGAAGCCCCACCACGAAAGUGGCUUUACUCCCCCCCGACUCCACGAAAGCUGCGGAACAAACUGGGAUUAGAGACCCCACUAUGCCCAGCCCUAAACUUUGAUGGCAUUUUACAUCCGCCAUCCGCCAGGGAACUACGAGCACUAGCUUAAAACCCAAAGGACUUGGCGGUGCUUUAGACCCACCUAGAGGAGCCUGUUCUAAAACCGAUAAUCCCCGUUAAACCUCACCCUCUCUUGUCAUUUCCGCCUAUAUACCGCCGUCGUCAGCUUACCCUGUGAAGGCACCAUAGUAAGCAAAACUAGUACAACCCAAAACGUCAGGUCGAGGUGUAGCAUAUGAGAGGGGAAGAAAUGGGCUACAUUCCCUACUCUAAGGAACACGAACAAUGUGAUGAAAAGCACAUUAGAAGGAGGAUUUAGCAGUAAGUAAGAAAUAGAGUGUCUUGCUGAAACUGGCCCUGAAGCGCGCACACACCGCCCGUCACUCUCCCCAAGCCAACUUUCAUAAAUACAUAAUACAUUUUAGGAAAAAAGGGGAGGCAAGUCGUAACAUGGUAAGUGUACCGGAAG